AGCAAAUUCUCAUUGUUUUGGACAAAUUGCCUUUUUUUUCUUACCUUUCUUUACAUUUUUUAUUUUUUAUAGAUAGAUAGAUCUACAAUCUACAAAUGGAGAUGCUUUGGGACUGUAGCUACUCUACCAAGAAGUGGAUGCCAAGUCAAAAUAACACCAAGAGCACAACGAAGACUCAUUAAUGAGGGCCUGGCCAGCUUGUAAUGAUUGAAGGAAAGAUGAAUUCCCAAGUAUAUCAGACAAUUCUUCAGGAUAAUGUGAGAAUGUCCGUACGUCAGCUGAAACUGUGAAGAAGGUGGGUGAUGCAACAGAACAAUGACCCAAAACACCAGAGCAAGUCCACAACAGAAUGGCUUCAGAAAAAACAAAAUCCACCUUUUAGAAGUCAGAGCCCUGACCUCAACCCAAUAGAGAUGCUAUGGAUUGACUUGAAGAGUCAUACACAUGAGACGUCCAAGGAAUAUGACCGAGCUAAAGCAGUUCUGCCUGGAAAAUGGGCUAAAAUUCCUCCUCAUUGAUGUGCAGGUCUGAACCACAGAAACAGGAAGCUCUUGGUUGAAGUUAUUGCUGCCAAGGGGGGUCAACCUGUUAUUAACUCUUUCGCCGCCAGCGUUUUAAAAAAAGUUGCCAGCCAGCGCCAGCGUUUUUCAUGAUUUUCACAAAAGUUUAAUGCCUUCCAGAAAAUGUUCUUCUUUAAAUAUAUAAACAUACAAUAUACCAAAUGAAAGAACAGACCCUCUGCUUUCAAACAAAAUAAAAACAUUUCAUCCUA
Molecule: non-coding RNA, 772 nt
Organism: Misgurnus anguillicaudatus (oriental weatherfish)
Lineage: Eukaryota; Metazoa; Chordata; Actinopteri; Cypriniformes; Cobitidae
Source: RefSeq, a predicted model, not a curated record